This 305-nucleotide ribosomal RNA is filed under the name Acantholaimus sp. K37. RNAcentral describes it as "bacterial SSU rRNA". It matches the Rfam family "Eukaryotic small subunit ribosomal RNA", at positions 60 to 364 of the family's 1831-position model. Lineage: Eukaryota; Metazoa; Nematoda; Chromadorea; Chromadorida; Chromadoridae. The record is from RNAcentral.
UAAGCAUAAGCUUAAAUAAAGUGAAGCCGCGAAUAGCUCAUUACAACAGCCGUUGUUUAUUAGAUCUUAUAUCCUACUUGGAUAACUGUGGUAAUUCUAGAGCUAAUACAUGCAACAAUACCCAGACCUCACGGAAUGGGUGCACUUAUUAGACUAAAACCAAUCGGACUUCGGUCCGCCAAAUGGUGAAUCUGAAUAACUCAGCUGAUCGCAUGGUCUUUGCACCAGCGACAGAUCUUUCAAAUGUCUGUCCUAUCAACUUUCGAUGGUAGUUUACACGCCUACCAUGGUUGUUACGGGUAACG